UUGUUGUUUUCUGUCUUCUUGCAUUUGGGGGCUGUUGGUUUGUUCUUGUUGCUGCAGCUGUGACAUCAGGAACAACGUUCCAACAGGUUCUGUGUUGAUCCAGAAACCAGAGGAUCCUGCAAUAUGUGAACACGUGAACAACUUGAGCUAGCUCUGUCCUGCGGAAGGAGGCCUUUAGGGACAGUCCUGCCAAAGAGACAUUUUACCCACAAUGCUGAAUAUGCUUUACAUGGCUUAGAAGACAUUAGAAGGCAUCCACCAUUUCAAUUAUUUUUUUCAUUUUUUCAUGGAAGUUCAAUUAGCCCAAAGAAGAGAGAAAGAUGCAGAGAGAGUACAAGUAGAUAGAACA
This is a long non-coding RNA of Mustela erminea (ermine), 349 nucleotides long. RefSeq lists it as uncharacterized. The record is from RefSeq and is a predicted model, not a curated record. The transcript is spliced from 3 exons. NCBI's taxonomy places the organism in Eukaryota, Metazoa, Chordata, Mammalia, Carnivora, Mustelidae.